This 133-nucleotide non-coding RNA is filed under the name Loktanella sp. S4079. RNAcentral's name for it is "FMN riboswitch aptamer (RFN element)". It matches the Rfam family "FMN riboswitch aptamer (RFN element)". Rfam says of the family: The RFN element is a highly conserved domain that is found frequently in the 5'-untranslated regions of prokaryotic mRNAs that encode for flavin mononucleotide (FMN) biosynthesis and transport proteins. This element is a metabolite-dependent riboswitch that directly binds FMN in the absence of proteins. The record is from Rfam by way of RNAcentral. RNAcentral also lists the same sequence under 1 other name. Lineage: Bacteria; Pseudomonadati; Pseudomonadota; Alphaproteobacteria; Rhodobacterales; Roseobacteraceae.
CUUUGUUCUCAGGGCGGGGUGAAAUUCCCCACCGGCGGUAAUAGCCCGCGAGCGCCCUUUCACAUGAAAGGGGUCAGCAGAUCCGGUGGAACUCCGGGGCCGACGGUCAUAGUCCGGAUGAAAGAGAAGCGAC